UGGCUCAGGACGAACGCUGGCGGCGUGCUUCAUACAUGCAAGUCGAACGAGAAAUUACCUUCGGGUAAUGGAAAGUGGCGGACGGGUGAGUAAUAUGUAGAGAAUCUGCCUUCAAGCGGGGGAUAGCAGUUGGAAACGACUAUUAAUACCCCAUAUGAGCGUAACUGAAAUGUUAUUCUUGAAAACUCCGGUGCUUGGAGAUGAGUCUGCAUCUGAUUAGCUAGUUGGGGGUGUAAUGGACCACCAAGGCGACGAUCAGUAGCUGGUUUGAGAGGAUGAUCAGCCACAAUGGGACUGAGACACGGCCCAUACUCCUACGGGAGGCAGCAGUAGGGAAUUUUGCGCAAUGGGCGAAAGCCUGACGCAGCCAACGCCGCGUGAUCGAGACGCUUUUCGGAGUGUAAAGAUCUGUCACAGGGGACGAACGAUGACGGUACCCUGAGAGGAAGCACCGGCUAACUCCGUGCCAGCCGCAGC
This 477-nucleotide ribosomal RNA is filed under the name uncultured bacterium. RNAcentral's name for it is "bacterial SSU rRNA". It matches the Rfam family "Bacterial small subunit ribosomal RNA", at positions 20 to 518 of the family's 1533-position model. The record is from RNAcentral.